RNAcentral lists this ribosomal RNA (402 nucleotides) under uncultured bacterium. RNAcentral's name for it is "bacterial SSU rRNA". It matches the Rfam family "Bacterial small subunit ribosomal RNA", at positions 355 to 774 of the family's 1533-position model. The record is from RNAcentral.
UCGGGAAUUUUGCUCAAUGGGCGCAAGCCUGAAGCAGCAACGCCGCGUGAGGGAUGAAGGCCUUCGGGUUGUAAACCUCUUUUCUCAGGGACGAUGAUGACGGUACCAGAGGAAUAAGCACCGGCUAACUCCGUGCCAGCAGCCGCGGUAAUACGGAGGGUGCGAGCGUUAUCCGGAUUUACUGGGUUUAAAGGGUGCGUAGGUGGGCUUAUAAGUCAGUGGUGAAAUCUCCGAGCUUAACUUGGAAACUGCCGUUGAUACUAUAGGUCUUGAAUUAUCUGGAGGUAAGCGGAAUAUGUCAUGUAGCGGUGAAAUGCUUAGAUAUGACAUAGAACACCAAUUGCGAAGGCAGCUUACUACAUAUAAAUUGACGCUGAGGCACGAAAGCGUGGGGAUCAAACA